Molecule: ribosomal RNA, 253 nt
Filed under: uncultured bacterium
Lineage: Bacteria
Description: partial 16S ribosomal RNA
Rfam family: Bacterial small subunit ribosomal RNA
Source: RNAcentral
UACGUAGGGGGCAAGCGUUGUCCGGAUUUAUUGGGCGUAAAGAGCGUGUAGGCGGCUUUACAGGUCCGUUGUGAAAACUCGAGGCUCAACCUCGAGACGCCGGUGGAAACCGUAAAGCUAGAGUCCGGAAGAGGAGAGUGGAAUUCCUGGUGUAGCGGUGAAAUGCGCAGAUAUCAGGAAGAACACCCGUGGCUAAGGCGGCUCUCUAGUACGGUACUGACGCUGAGACGCGAAAGCGUGGGGAGCGAACAGG